This 258-nucleotide non-coding RNA is filed under the name Enterococcus sp. RNAcentral's name for it is "T-box sequence". It matches the Rfam family "T-box leader". From Rfam's summary of the family: Uncharged tRNA acts as the effector for transcription antitermination of genes in the T-box leader family. T-boxes are found upstream of many aminoacyl-tRNA synthetase genes and some amino acid biosynthetic genes usually in Gram-positive bacteria. Lineage: Bacteria; Bacillati; Bacillota; Bacilli; Lactobacillales; Enterococcaceae. The record is from RNAcentral.
GUAAACACGUAGAAAAAGAAAGUAAGAUUCUGUGGAAUUUCUAACAGAGAGCCCCGACAGCUGAAAAAGGGUGAAAGAAAACGAAUCUGAAAAUGGCUUUUGAGUGGGUGUUUCGAGAACGCAAGUUCUAGAAGCGCACGGAUGUCCCCGUUACUGAGACCCCAAUAUCACGCAACAGCGUCGCAUUGGAGUAGAGGCAUUCUUCGUAAGUCGGAUGCAAACUAAGGUGGUACCAUGUAAAUUUAUUACAUCCUUAAG